UACGGAGGGUGCAAGCGUUAUCCGGAUUCACUGGGUUUAAAGGGUGCGUAGGCGGAUUAGUAAGUCCGUGGUGAAAUCUCCGAGCUUAACUUGGAAACUGCCGUGGAUACUAUUAGUCUUGAAUAUCGUGGAGGUAAGCGGAAUAUGUCAUGUAGCGGUGAAAUGCUUAGAUAUGACAUAGAACACCCAUUGCGAAGGCAGCUUACUACACGAUCAUUGACGCUGAGGCACGAAAGCGUGGGGAGCAAACAGG
This 253-nucleotide ribosomal RNA is filed under the name uncultured bacterium. RNAcentral describes it as "partial 16S ribosomal RNA". It matches the Rfam family "Bacterial small subunit ribosomal RNA", at positions 524 to 776 of the family's 1533-position model. The record is from RNAcentral.